This 240-nucleotide unclassified non-coding RNA is filed under the name uncultured fungus. RNAcentral's name for it is "sequence contains ITS1, 5.8S rRNA gene". Lineage: Eukaryota; Fungi. The record is from RNAcentral.
UUUCCGUUGGUGAACCAGCGGAAGGAUCAUUACAGAGAUCUUGCCCUCACGGGUAGACCUCCCACCCUGUGUUAUUUACGAUUGUUGCUUUGGCAGGCCGCCUACGGGCGCUCGGCUUCGGCUGAGGUGCGCCUGCCAGAGGACCCCCAACUCUGUGUUUAGUGUUGUCUGAGUCUUAUUUAAUACGUAAAAACUUUCAACAACGGAUCUCUUGGUUCUGGCAUCGAUAAAGAAAGCAGC